This 570-nucleotide long non-coding RNA is filed under the name Gossypium raimondii (Peruvian cotton). RNAcentral's name for it is "long non-coding RNA (GRAI_LNC001743)". The record is from RNAcentral. Lineage: Eukaryota; Viridiplantae; Streptophyta; Magnoliopsida; Malvales; Malvaceae.
GGAGAUGUCGGACUGUAUGAUGGCGAUGUUGGGCUGUAUGAUGGAGAAGUGGGGCUGUAUGCAGGUGAAGUUGGGCUAUAUGCCGGUGAAGUAGGGCUGUAGCUUGGUGAAGUUGGACUAUAGCUGGGAGAUGUGGGACUAUAACUUGGUGAAGUAGGACUGUAACUUGGAGACGUAGGGCUGUAGCUUGGAGAGGUAGGGCUAUAGCUUGGUGAGGUUGGAGAAUAAGAGGGACUUGUAGGAGAGUAGGCUGGACUUGUUGGGCUGUAACCUGGUGAACUAGGACUGUAAGUAGGUGAUGUGGGGCUGUAACCAGGCGAGGUAGGACUGUAGCCAGGAGAUGUAGGGCUGUAACCAGGCGAGGUAGGACUGUAGCCAGGAGAUGAAGGACUGUAGCCAGGAGAUGAUGGGCUGUAACCAGGGGAUGACGUGGGAGAGAAUGCCAUCCCGCCAACAUAAGGUGAGAACUGAGCAUCCGAAAUGGGAGAGAGACGGAGAUUUGGGCUCAGCAAGUAACUUGGAGACAUCAUGCCUUCAUGAUAUGGAGUUCCUGAUACUGGAGAUCGAGCA